RNAcentral lists this small RNA (47 nucleotides) under Candidatus Magnetoglobus multicellularis str. Araruama. RNAcentral's name for it is "Acido-Lenti-1 RNA". It matches the Rfam family "Acido-Lenti-1 RNA". The record is from Rfam by way of RNAcentral. Lineage: Bacteria; Pseudomonadati; Thermodesulfobacteriota; Desulfobacteria; Desulfobacterales; Desulfobacteraceae.
CCUGGGGUUGAAACCUCAGGCUAUUAUCUGUCGUCCCUAUCGGGACU